GAUGUACUCCUUCCGUCCAACAAAAGAUGUCUCAAAUUUGUUAAAAUUCGGAUGUACGUAGACAUAACUUAGUGUAUAGAUGCAUUCAAAUUUAAUCAAAAUUGAGACAUCCUUUGUUGGACGCAGGGAGUAGAUU
Molecule: non-coding RNA, 136 nt
Organism: Brachypodium distachyon (stiff brome)
Lineage: Eukaryota; Viridiplantae; Streptophyta; Magnoliopsida; Poales; Poaceae
Source: Rfam